Molecule: long non-coding RNA, 785 nt
Organism: Haemorhous mexicanus (house finch)
Lineage: Eukaryota; Metazoa; Chordata; Aves; Passeriformes; Fringillidae
Exons: 2
Source: RefSeq, a predicted model, not a curated record
GGCUGGGGGGAUGGGCUGGGCUGGGUACGAAAUGGGAGUGGGCUCCUGGCCCUGCCAACAGCCCCCAGCCCCCACCGUGCCCCGGGCUGGGGCUGGGGCAGCCAGCCUGACACAAACAAACCCCAUGGUGGGAGCAGAGGUGGGACUCCAGAACCUGUGCUGCGGCUGCUUUGCUGUGCAGGCAAGGAAGGGCUUGGGCUGCUCCACUGCCCUUGUUUGCUUUGGGAUCAGCAUUAUUGUGGGGGGCAGUGCAGGGGGGAAGGGAGAAAGCCUGGGCUUCCGUUCCCCGUGUGUGGGUUUUUCCUUGCAUGCAGGGGUUGGGCCUUCCUCAAGGCCCUGGCAGAGAUAAGAUUUUUUUACCUUUUUUCUUGUUUCCCCUUUUUGUCUGUAAUCUAUUUUCAAUAAUUUGUUGUUUGUUUUUCUAGAUGAAGCCUUAUAGGUUGGGUCCAGUCUGGAUCAGGAAGUGCUUGGGACCAGCUGCAGCGUGGAUGGGCCGUGCCCUUGGAGAAGGCUGAGGACAUCGUUUGGGACCAGCUUUUCUUCCAGCAGGGGAGGGCGUGAGCCGGGCUCUGCGGGUGCUGAGGCUGCUCUGGGCUCUGCCAGGGCUCUGCUGGAGCUCAGCACCGGGCUGGAAUCAGCCAAAGAAGAAAUGGUGUGACCUGCAGCACAGACUUGCUUGAGCAUUUUGGCAGCACAGCUCAAGUUUGCAGAGUGUACACCUCCAUGGGAAAAGAUGACACCCCCCAAAAAAUAAAUUUGUUCAAUAACUUCUGAAAUGAAAUCAA